Molecule: long non-coding RNA, 744 nt
Organism: Cebus imitator (Panamanian white-faced capuchin)
Lineage: Eukaryota; Metazoa; Chordata; Mammalia; Primates; Cebidae
Exons: 2
Source: RefSeq, a predicted model, not a curated record
AAGACUUCAUCUUAUAAAUAAAGAAAAUAAAUAAAGAAAAAGAAAAUAAAGAAAAAAUGCUUAAAUGAAUAAAAGCCAGGUGUCUAAAAGGAAACUUUAAGCUCUAGGUUAUUAAGGUAAUCCAUCUGUGUGAACAAGUGUUUGCAUUGUUGGAUGAUGUGUACCAAAUAUACUAGAUAACUAUGAGAUUAUUAAUUAUGGAUUAACUCUUCCAUCAAGAGACUUUUUGGCUUUUGGUAUUAAGUGAAUUGGUAUUACACAAGAGCCAUAACAAACAUGAUCACAGAAAAUAGAUUAGACACAGUUUCUGGUAUUUGGAAACUUAUAUACUCCAGUGUCUCUAAAGAAAAUACUUAACAAGUAAGACUUAACCUCUGCAAAAGAUGAGUGAUUUUUUAAAAAAAUUUUAACAAAGUAUGGGGUGUUUAUGGUGUAAUUUGGAUUCUGAAACCAGAGGUUUUAAAAAUACUUUUAAAAACUGGGUAUUUCCGUUUUCUAGACUAGUCAGUAGUGUUUAAAAAAUGGUUAAACUAGACAAAAGAGCAAUGCCUCCAGGAAAAUUGGUGACCUGGUAUGUUGCCACAACUGAAUCUAUUUUCCUUCCUCAAAGACCCAGAUUGAUCACUACGUUGGCAUCGCCCGAGAUCAGACCAAGUCAAUUGUUGAAAAGAUCCAAGCAAAACUCCCCGGAAUCGCCAAAAAAAAGGCAGAAUAAGCACAUGGAAACCAGAAAUGCAACAGUUA